AUAUAUAUAUAUAUAUAUAUAUAUAUAUACUUACAUACAUACAGUUUAGACUCUUGAAAGCCAUUGAAAUUCAUACUAUUAGCAUUGUACAUGGUGCAGGAAAAAUAUAUUUUAUAUGUAUAUUCUGUAUACUUGUAUGGCAUUUCUUAGGGUCAAAAUAUUGCAGUAUCAUGGUUUCAAUAAUAAUAAUUUAUUACAAUACCAUUUCCACAUAUAAAUUGAUUUGUAUUAAUUGUAUCUAAGGACCCUGGCUUGACCUGAUAUUUUGUUAAAAGGGUUAUCCCAGUAGGCAACUCUUUUUAAGGACAAACAUAGUACAAACAUUUUUUUGGUUGUAUCGUGUUCAUGCAAGAUAAUUUCUGCAAAAAGGUUUUUAUUAUAUUUUUCUAUUCUCUUGUGAUUGCAUAUAUUUUAUCCAGUUACUUUGAGUAUGUAUUUAUCGAUUCCUGUUCAAUACAGUAUAUUGAGAAGUUACCGUUUCUAAACUUUAUGGAAGUAAUCUACAUAAUGGGCGAUUUAAAUUAUUGAAAAGUAUAUAUUGUUACUAAUACAUUUUUGGAGUGUAAUAUUCACUAGCUUAAAUAUUUAUUUAUACAAAAAGGCAGAAAUGUUGUGUAUAUAUAUAUAUAGCACAAGUUCGUUCUAUCAUAAAUUGAUUAAUUUACUGAAAUGCAAAUUUAGUUCUAAAUACACAAUGAAAUCACAAUAACAUGAUAUUAUCUGUGAGAAAAUCUGUGAAGCAUGACGGCCUUUAACCAGCAUCCUGGGUACCCCAGACGCCCUUCCUUUAGCACAUCAUGGUCCAUGGGUUGAAGACGUGUGUCUGAGGUAGGCCAGACGCUCUUCCUUUAGCACAUCAUGGUCCAUGGGUUGAAGACGUGUCUGAUGUAGGGCAGACGCUCUUCCUUUAGCACAUCAUGGUCCAUGGAUUGAAGACGUGUGUCUGAGGUAGGCCAGACGCUCUUCCUUUAGCACAUCAUGGUCCAUGGGUUGAAGACGUGUGUCUGAGGUAACCCAGGAUGCUGGUUCUAUCUUCCCGUCCUGUUCCAAAGAAUUUCUCGUGGUUCUUAAUUCUUGUGCACUUAUGUCGAUGUCACUUUAUUAGUGAAUUCUUGUAACAUGUAGAUUACUUAUUACAAGAACUGAUUAAUAAGCUCUUAAAGAACUUAUUAAUCUGAUAUAAGCUCUUGAGAACUAAAGAACUGAUAAAGUGUACUGUAAUCUCUUAAAGAGAAGGUUUAGUGCAUCAUGGGAGAACUUGCCAACAUUUGAUCAUUAAACCCCAUGUCUUCCAAAAGAUAAUUUGAUUGCAAUUUUAAUAAAAGUAGAAGGCUUAGUAAGCCAAAAAAAAACAGAAGGAAAGAGAUGUACACUUUUGCAAAAGGUGAUACUCAUAAUUCGUGAGGUUUUCCUGGAAUAACCUUUUGUUUUCAGUUUGACAUCCAUUUUGUCCAUUUUCUCUAAUGUUCCAUUGUCCAUUUUCUUUAAUGUUUGCAAUGCAGCUGACUACUUGAGUUGUCGUAGUUCUAAGUUCAGCAUACCACCCUUUUUCAUAUUCUGAGGCAGUUAUUAAAUGCUGAAAAAAUGUUUGCGAGUUGUAAUUUGGUUACCCAGAUAUGAAAUAUUGUUGUCUGUUAUAAAAGUGGUCAGUACACAUGCAUCUUGUAACUAUAAAUAUAGUAUUAAUUAUAAAAUAUAUUUUGUAUCAAAAUAGCAAAGUAAAUAAAUAAUUUAUGAAGC
This is a non-coding RNA of Procambarus clarkii (red swamp crayfish), 1740 nucleotides long. The record is from RefSeq and is a predicted model, not a curated record. NCBI's taxonomy places the organism in Eukaryota, Metazoa, Arthropoda, Malacostraca, Decapoda, Cambaridae.